This 2299-nucleotide ribosomal RNA is filed under the name Paenibacillus tuaregi. Its description in RNAcentral is "bacterial LSU rRNA". The stretch from base 873 to 2299 matches the Rfam family "Bacterial large subunit ribosomal RNA". The record is from RNAcentral. Lineage: Bacteria; Bacillati; Bacillota; Bacilli; Caryophanales; Paenibacillaceae.
UGGUCAGCUUAUGGCAUUCUGGGCAUUCUAAUUGAACGGCCGUUGUGGACAACAUCCCCGCCCAGAAGUAGAUACCAAGGCUGCCCAUCAUGCUGAUAAGGCCGAUAACCAGCCCGAUCGCCGCAAUGAUUUUUCCCGAUUGACCCCAGAAUACAAUGCCUGCCGUACCAAGAACCAUUAGCCCCAUUCCCAGCAUCGUAAGGAGCAGUCCCCAUAGCCGGAACUCAUUAAUUUUACUGGAUUUAAACAACAUAGAUUAUACCCUCAAUUCUGAAUAGAUUAGGAUUGACUACAGAUUAGAAGAAGGAAACUUGAAUGCUGUGUAGAACUAUAUUAUAUCGAAUCGGCGAGAACUCGCCAAGGUUGGAGGUUGCUGUGGAAUCUACUCUUUUUUCUUUGGUGAAUGAUCACACGGUAGAACACCAUGCGGUAGGCGCCAUCGGUUACCGGCAUUCCGGCGGAGGAUUUCAUGGCUCGCUUCUGCAUGAUUUUGAGCUUCUGGUCUUAAUCAUUUGCGACAAUUGUGAUUUGAGUCUGCAGAUCGAACACUGUGUUAAAGGAAACUUGCAGUAUCAGGUUUUAUAUGUCUCCCAACAGGAUAUGAUUCAGUGGACACUCUCUGGGGAGCAUAGGGAGAUCAUGCAUUGUUUUAUGAAAGGCGAAAUUAUAUGGGAAACUCAAGGGAGAGUGGUUGAUCUGCGUUCUCAGAUUAUGGAGUUGGAACAGACAUUGAAGGAGCAAAGCCUGUUCAGAGAGUUCUCCAGAUUUCUUCGCAGAUAUCUAGAAGCAAAGAGAUACAGUGAAGACAGAUAUUUCAUGGAUGCUUAUCACAGCGUUCUUGAAGCACUUCAUCACUAUGCCCGAUUAGAAUUAUUGGAGCAGGGAAUACAGCCUGGCGGAUGUGUAUGGGAGCAAAUCAGCCACAGGGGAUCUGUAGUGUUCAAGCUGUAUGAGGAAAUUACGGAGAGCAGCGAGACGCUUGAACAGCGGAUACAGCUUGUUUUGCUGGCUUGUGAGUUCUCGGUAAUGUCCAAAAUGGCUCAUUGCUGCAAAUUCCUGCUGAAUAUAUUAAGCAGCAGACACGAGCCUUGGAGUAUACAGGAGUUAUGUAUGCAUCCGGAUUUGGUGCCGGUACGCGAGGAACUGCCCAUGCUUCUGCGGAAACUGGUAUACCGUUCUCUCGUUAGAGAGACGUCAUUGGGGCAUCAGGGAGGCGGUCCGACCUCACGUCACAUCCGUUAUUGGGCUAAUUAGAAGGUCUGGGGGAAAUAGGAAUUCCAGAUGGGUUGACGCAUCUGGUAGAUGUAUGAUAAAUUAUAACUCGCUGCUAAAAAGGUUGUAGAACUUUCGCGAAAUUGAAUCAAAUAAUUUUUCAAAAAAAGUUCUUGACUAUUAGAUGGCGAACNAUAACGGUCCUAAGGUAGCGAAAUUCCUUGUCAGGUAAAUUCUGACCCGCACGAAUGGCGUAACGACUUGGGCGCUGUCUCAACGAGAGAUCCGGUGAAAUUUUAAUACCUGUGAAGAUGCAGGUUACCCGCGACAAGACGGAAAGACCCCAUGGAGCUUUACUGCAGCUUGAUAUUGGACUUUGAUACGAUUUGUACAGGAUAGGUGGGAGCCUAGGAAGCCGGAGCGCCAGCUUCGGUGGAGGCACCGUUGGGAUACCACCCUGAUCGUAUCGGAGUUCUAACCUAGUACCGUGACCCGGUACGGGGACCGUGUCAGGUGGGCAGUUUGACUGGGGCGGUCGCCUCCUAAAGAGUAACGGAGGCGCCCCAAGGUUCCCUCAGAAUGGUUGGAAAUCAUUCGAAGAGUGCAAAGGCAUAAGGGAGCUUGACUGCGAGACUGACAAGUCGAGCAGGGACGAAAGUCGGGCUUAGUGAUCCGGUGGUACCGCAUGGAAGGGCCAUCGCUCAACGGAUAAAAGCUACCCUGGGGAUAACAGGCUUAUCUCCCCCAAGAGUCCACAUCGACGGGGAGGUUUGGCACCUCGAUGUCGGCUCAUCGCAUCCUGGGGCUGAAGUAGGUCCCAAGGGUUGGGCUGUUCGCCCAUUAAAGCGGUACGCGAGCUGGGUUCAGAACGUCGUGAGACAGUUCGGUCCCUAUCUGUCGUGGGCGUAGGAAAUUUGAGAGGAGCUGUCCUUAGUACGAGAGGACCGGGAUGGACGCACCGCUGGUGCACCAGUUGUUCCGCCAGGAGCACAGCUGGGUAGCUAAGUGCGGAAGGGAUAAGCGCUGAAAGCAUCUAAGCGUGAAGCCCCCCUCAAGAUGAGAUUUCCCAGUAUGUAAGACCCCUUGA